Long non-coding RNA from Daucus carota subsp. sativus, 1844 nucleotides. RefSeq lists it as uncharacterized. NCBI's taxonomy places the organism in Eukaryota, Viridiplantae, Streptophyta, Magnoliopsida, Apiales, Apiaceae. The record is from RefSeq and is a predicted model, not a curated record. The transcript is spliced from 5 exons.
CUAUCAUCGAGUUUAUAUAUCUGUAUCUCAAUUUAAUUUUGCAUCUUAGAGACAUUUUCUGGUGUGGCAAAUGCUCAUAUGAUUAUUAAUAUAAUAUAAUGAUUGUAUUUAGAGAAACUCAGUUGUGUGAGUGUAUAUAAACUUUGAAAUCAUAGACAAAAUAAGGGUAUUUAUAUUUUUGGGUCUGAUUUAAAUAUUCUGUGUCUGAUUUUAGCAUCUACUCUCCUUGUUCAGGGCUAGCACUACUAUAGAAAUAGUGAGAAUGAAAUGAUGUCAAAAACAAGGGAUCAAUGGUCAAGUAUACUUAAAUCAUUGCGACAAAUAAAGUCUGGUAGUAAAUUAAAACAAGGGAUCAAUGGUCAAGUAUCAAUUUACAUAAAUUACUACAAUUCUCUGUACAUGGUUACAUUCUGCAGUAGCUGGCUUCAUUAAAAGGAAGAGAUAUUCACAUGUAAAUUUGUUUUAUACUUUUAAACUCCCUUCAGACUACAUAAGUGCAUAUAUAAUUUGUGAUAUAUUGUUUGUUAUGUUUACAUUGACUCUUCUAAGGAUUUAUUGACAUAAUUUUAUUUUACAUUUUGCAUCUAUUGAACAUUUGGCCCUAAGGAUUGGGGUUUUUACUAUCGUAUGCUGUAUGUCUUCUUGGUCAUGCUUUUGUUCCAAGCUGCUGAAUAUGUGGUCACCAGAAAUAGCUUUGUAUCAAACCAGUAAUAACAUAUGGAAUUCUAGAAUGCUACACGCCAAACCAGAUACAUUAUUAAAACGCAAGUUCUUUUUUGUUCAGCCAAUUAUAGCUAUUUGUUUGUACAUCUAUGUGUUUGGAGCACAGAUGGAUGGGAAAAACAAACAAGUAGACAAUUGCAAAUUCCGGCAGGUCGGGCUGCAGCUCCCCUUGCUGAUUCCCGUGUGCAAUUUCACCAGCAUCAGACCCAUCUGAUAGCAGUCCAUGAAACACAGAUAGCAAUAUAUGAAGCACCUAAACUUGAAUGCCUCAAGCAGUCGGUUCCAUGAGAAGCAAGUGGUCCAAUCACACAUGCUACAUAUCUUGUGAUAGCCAAUCCAUAUAUCUGAGCUUUGAAGAUGGAAGUGUGGAAUGAGCAAGAUUUGAAGAGAAAGGCGGAAGCAGGUUAAUCGUGAAUCUGCAAGGUCAGGGCUGAGAAAACAGGAAGGGACCAUGAAGAACUUGCAAUAGAAGUAGACUCUUUUAACUGCUGAAAGUAUGACACUUAUGCCGAAAUUAACCGAUCGCCAGUGACUGCAGAGAAACUAACAAUUGAUAACUUUAGAUUACUGGAGGUGAUGAAAAAUGCGUAGGCAGAACAUGCAUCAAAUGUAGGUUUAGAAAACAAUAUUCAAAAGAAGGCAUCAACGCUUAGUAGUACAAACCUACUCUUUAGAGUUGACGGUGCAGGCUGUGGUGCUAGAAAUGAAAGAGAAUGUGAGGUGAAUGAGAAGAUGACAAAGUUUGUUACAAAAUUUCACAAACUGCUUGAUGCUAGCCUCUGGGCGGAUGAUGUUGUUGGCUAAUCAGUUGUCGCUGGUAUUGCAACCUACAUUCAGCUGACUUUUAAGCAAAGCCCGCAGUCUUGACAUAAUUAUAAGCCCAAAAUUACUGCUAAUAGUAGCAUUUGAGCAUUGAAGUAAGGGUAAUUUAAUAAGAGAAGUCCAAGCAUUUAAUAUUUACUCUGUUUUUAAUUUUUCCUUGGAAAAAUGUAAAGUGUGACUUUCAAGGUCAGGGGCAACGUGAUAAGAUGAUGAAUAUAAGUUUGUAGAUUGAAGAGAAACAAGUAGAUGUUCAUUAAUCAUGAUACUGAGACCAAUAUGCAUGGUCUAUUACUUAUUAA